CUCAUCAUUCCUCUCUGCAUGGAUGAAACAAACAAGGCAACCUCGGCCUGCAGGGAUGAGGUUCGCGGUCUCCCAGGAGGAGUCCUGGAGAAGGAAGCUUCCUCUGCAGCUGGGCCCGGCCAGGCCAAAGCAGAGGGGCCAGAGUCUGUGUGGACAGGCUGGGGUAGACCUCACGUGGCAGUGGCCUCUGAGGCUGAGCACAGCAGCCCAACUUUAACCAGUGGUUGUAUGGCUCCGGUCCCCUCUUAGGAGAAUGGGGCCACACCCAGAAGCUGGCGGCUGCUGGGGACACGAAAGGAAAGGCUGUUAGAACCAGCAAGUGAAGGUGCUUGCUGCCAACCCCCAUGACCUCAGUGUGACCCUGGAACCCACAUGGUGGAACCCACGGUUGUCCUCUGAAUCCAGAUGUGCCAUGCUACAGCACUACCUACAGCUCACAGGGUCACAGAGGGUUAAGUGCCGACACAGAGGAGAAGUCCUAACUCCGGGUAGGACACGUGGACUACAAGCGUAGUAGCUCCUGCUUCCUGCACGGGCUCUUCCGCACCUCCAGAGGAAACUCCCCACUGUCAAUCACCGGAAGGAAGGCGUUUGCGUGCCUGCGUGGCCAGCCCAAUUGAUGUGACAUCGACCUGACCCCCCUACUUUGGAACCUGACAAAAUGUUUCUGGACCCCUAGGGGGACAGAAAGCUCUCCUGGGAACUCCCACCAGGCAUGGCUGCUUCCCUUUCAUCUGCCUGUGGCGGUUUCCCCUGAGCAGGACAAGCUUCAAUAGCGCGCGUGACAGCCAAUGACAGCAUUUUCCAGGUGCCGGUGAGCAUUGAAAGGUUGCUCACAAAGAGCUUUCCACGGAAAGAAUGGACUGUACACACUCAGGUGUGUUAAGCGAGCCAGUAAACUGUCAACAUGCAGACAGGGCAUUAGUUACGGGCGUCUACUAUACGUAAAAGGCCACAGAUUUCAUGUGGGAUGCUGGUUAAGAAACCAGGGAUUUACUAUGGAUUUUUAAGUUCUGUUUUAUUUCUCUUGUUGGCUACAAUACCCAAGAAAGGCUGGCACUGGCUUGUAGCCAGUUCGAACGCAUUUCUGUUCUCUAAAGCAGGCGCUGCCUGAAGAGAAAGGUGAGCCGUGGAGGCCACCCAGCUACUCACGCCCACAUACCGAGGGGUGUCAGUGCCCGCGACGCCAGUGCGGGCGGCUCCACAGUGCACCAUGUGGGUAGCCUCAUCGUGUGAGAGAGAAACAUGGACCCUUUGUUCUGGCAGCAGAGAAUGCAUUGAUCUUAACACUGACAAGCCUCUAGCGGUUAAAGGGGCAGCGCUGGAGCCUUCUCAAGGCUGGUGGCAUCUCAGAAGGGACGUGGCUGGGCCUGCGGUGGCUCUCCGCCCCCUCCCUUUG
Molecule: long non-coding RNA, 1399 nt
Organism: Peromyscus californicus insignis
Lineage: Eukaryota; Metazoa; Chordata; Mammalia; Rodentia; Cricetidae
Exons: 3
Source: RefSeq, a predicted model, not a curated record